UACGAAGGGGGCUAGCGUUGUUCGGAAUUACUGGGCGUAAAGCGCGCGUAGGCGGUGAUCUUUGUCAGAGGUGAAAGCCCGGGGCUCAACCCCGGAAUUGCCUUUGAAACGGGAUCGCUUGAGUCCGAGAGAGGAUGGCGGAAUUCCUAGUGUAGAGGUGAAAUUCGUAGAUAUUAGGAAGAACACCGGUGGCGAAGGCGGCCAUCUGGCUCGGUACUGACGCUCAGGCGCGAAAGCGUGGGGAGCAAACAGG
RNAcentral lists this ribosomal RNA (253 nucleotides) under uncultured bacterium. Its description in RNAcentral is "partial 16S ribosomal RNA". It matches the Rfam family "Bacterial small subunit ribosomal RNA", at positions 524 to 776 of the family's 1533-position model. The record is from RNAcentral.